This 253-nucleotide ribosomal RNA is filed under the name uncultured bacterium. Its description in RNAcentral is "partial 16S ribosomal RNA". It matches the Rfam family "Bacterial small subunit ribosomal RNA", at positions 524 to 776 of the family's 1533-position model. The record is from RNAcentral.
UACGUAGGGGGCAAGCGUUGUCCGGAAUCAUUGGGCGUAAAGCGCGCGUAGGCGGCCCGGUAAGUCCGUUCUGAAAGUCCAGGGCUCAACCCUGGAAAGCGGGUGGAUACUGCCGGGCUAGAAUCCGGAAGAGGCGAGUGGAAUUCCUGGUGUAGCGGUGGAAUGCGCAGAUAUCAGGAGGAACACCAAUAGCGAAGGCAGCUCGCUGGGACAGUAUUGACACUAAGGCGCGAAAGCGUGGGGAGCAAACAGG